CCUCGUGGAUCUGCGACGGGGAGAGCAGGUGCACGUGCGAGUCGAAGCCGCCGGCGGUGAGGAUCUUGCCCUCGCCGGAGAUGACGUCGGUCGAUGGCCCGAUGUGCAGAUCCGGGUGCACUCCGUCGGCCACAUCCGGGUUGCCGGAACGGCCGAGGGCCACGAUGCGGCCGUCGCGGACCCCGACAUCGGCCCGGACGACGCCCCAGUGGUCGAGCACGAUGGCGUUGGUGAUGACGGUGUCGACGGCGCCCUGGGCCCGGGUCGUGCUGCCCUGGGCCAUCGACUCCCGGAUG
This 296-nucleotide small RNA is filed under the name Nakamurella panacisegetis. RNAcentral describes it as "Nakamurella sp. P4-7 5' ureB small RNA". It matches the Rfam family "5' ureB small RNA". The record is from Rfam by way of RNAcentral. Lineage: Bacteria; Bacillati; Actinomycetota; Actinomycetes; Nakamurellales; Nakamurellaceae.